Molecule: ribosomal RNA, 253 nt
Filed under: uncultured bacterium
Lineage: Bacteria
Description: partial 16S ribosomal RNA
Rfam family: Bacterial small subunit ribosomal RNA
Source: RNAcentral
UACGGGGGGGGCAAGCGUUGUUCGGAAUUACUGGGCGUAAAGGGCUCGUAGGCGGCCAACUAAGUCAGACGUGAAAUCCCUCGGCUUAACCGGGGAACUGCGUCUGAUACUGGAUGGCUGGAGUUCUGGAGGGGAUAGCGGAAUUCCUGGUGUAGCGGUGAAAUGCGUAGAUAUCAGGAGGAACACCGGUGGCGAAGGCGGCUAUCUGGACAGAAACUGACGCUGAGGCGCGAAAGCUAGGGGAGCAAACAGG